RNAcentral lists this ribosomal RNA (492 nucleotides) under uncultured bacterium. RNAcentral describes it as "partial 16S ribosomal RNA". It matches the Rfam family "Bacterial small subunit ribosomal RNA", at positions 29 to 507 of the family's 1533-position model. The record is from RNAcentral.
AGUGAACGCUGGCGGUAGGCCUAACACAUGCAAGUCGAACGGCAGCACAGUAAGAGCUUGCUCUUACGGGUGGCGAGUGGCGGACGGGUGAGGAAUACAUCGGAAUCUACUUUUUCGUGGGGGAUAACGGAGGGAAACUUACGCUAAUACCGCAUACGACCUACGGGUGAAAGCAGGGGAUCUUCGGACCUUGCGCGAUUGAAUGAGCCGAUGUCGGAUUAGCUAGUUGGCGGGGUAAAGGCCCACCAAGGCGACGAUCCGUAGCUGGUCUGAGAGGAUGAUCAGCCACACUGGAACUGAGACACGGUCCAGACUCCUACGGGAGGCAGCAGUGGGGAAUAUUGGACAAUGGGCGCAAGCCUGAUCCAGCCAUACCGCGUGGGUGAAGAAGGCCUUCGGGUUGUAAAGCUCUUUUGUUGGGAAAGAAAAGCAGUAGGUUAAUACCCCGCUGUUCUGACGGUACCCAAAGAAUAAGCACCGGCUAACUUCGUG